GAGCGCCGUAGCAAUACGGAGCGGCAGACGGGAGAGUAACACGUGGGAACGUGCCCUUUGGUCCGGAACAACCCAGGGAAACUUGGGCUAAUACCGGAUAAGUCCGUAAGGAGAAAGAUUUAUCGCCAAAGGAUCGGCCCGCGUCUGAUUAGCUAGUUGGUGAGAUAACGGCUCACCAAGGCGACGAUCAGUAGCUGGUCUGAGAGGAUGAUCAGCCUCACUGGGACUGAGACACGGCCCAGACUCCUACGGGAGGCAGCAGUGGGGAAUAUUGGACAAUGGGCGCAAGCCUGAUCCAGCCAUGCCGCGUGGAUGAUGAAGGCCCUAGGGUUGUAAAGUCCUUUCGGCGGGGAAGAUAAUGACGGUACCCGCAGAAGAAGCCCCGGCUAACUUCGUGCCAGCAGCCGCGGUAAUACGAAGGGGGCUAGC
This 429-nucleotide ribosomal RNA is filed under the name uncultured forest soil bacterium. Its description in RNAcentral is "bacterial SSU rRNA". It matches the Rfam family "Bacterial small subunit ribosomal RNA", at positions 64 to 539 of the family's 1533-position model. The record is from RNAcentral.